Molecule: long non-coding RNA, 453 nt
Filed under: Equus caballus (horse)
Lineage: Eukaryota; Metazoa; Chordata; Mammalia; Perissodactyla; Equidae
Description: lncRNA (ENSECAG00000059905.1)
Source: RNAcentral
GUGAUUACUGCUCCUCUAAGUAUGUGUCCGCAUACUAGACAGGAGAGGACAAAAGUCAUCUUCUUGUGAAGUUUUAUAUUUUUAUUCAGGAAAGGAAGGCUGCCGGUCCAUCUGCCUACAACUCACUGGUCAGAACAGUAUCACAUGAUCCCUCUGUCAACAAGGGAGUCUAAGAAAGUCAUUUACCUUUCAAGUAUCUAAAGUAUGGAAUGGCAAGGUAGAAGCGAGUUGUUGGCAGUUGGGAAGGAAAGCUGGAUGUGGAUGAGAUCAAGGACAAGCCAGAACCUGUGAAGACAGACUUGGGCCCGCAAAGAACACUGGAACUCACGAGGACAAACUGGAACCUGUCUCUUGCCCCAGUUGACAUCUUGACUGUGACUUUAUGAGAGACCCCAAGGCAGAACUGUUUAGCUAAGCUGCUUUCUGACCCACAGCAACUGUGAGAUAAUAAAU